RNAcentral lists this long non-coding RNA (27430 nucleotides) under Citrus x clementina. RNAcentral's name for it is "Citrus clementina (C. clementina) long non-coding RNA (CCLE_LNC002466)". Lineage: Eukaryota; Viridiplantae; Streptophyta; Magnoliopsida; Sapindales; Rutaceae. The record is from RNAcentral.
UCAGAAUGAAGAUUGUUCACCACACCUGGCAUUUAUGAUGGCAAGGAAGAUUAAUUGUUCACAAGCCAAUUUGAUGAGUGUUAGAUUUUUGGCUUUAUAUAUUAUUAGAGCUCUCCCUUCUGAGAGAUAUCUCAUUAAAUUUGAGUAGAGCUCUCCCAAUAACUGCAAGCUUUCAUUUGUUUGUAAAAUCAUCUUCUUAUAUUGAUUGUGUUUCCUUGUGUUAUCGGGUAGAGUAUCAUCUUCAAGGGUUUCAAAAAGUCUUUGCAGUAAAGUUUCAACCAAUUGCUGUGAAGAGGCAUAUUCAUUUGAGUAAUUCAGUUUCAGAUUUUCAGGGCGUGUGUGUUUAAUUAGUUUUGAUUAAAAUAUUUAGUCACUCAUUCUGAAUCUUUUCUAAUUUUCAAGUUCCUUAGGGCCACAGCCAGUUUUUCAGGUCUGCAGAAACUAUCUUGAGUGUUGAGGAAUUGCGUUUGAGCACACACAGAAACAAGGCUAAUGGAAAAGAACUUGACAGAAGAAUUAUGCUCUAAAUCUAACAAAAGUAUAUUUCUACUUCUUGUGGUUAUUUUACUUUUGUAUUUUCUGUCAUCAUAUUUGAUUAAUUCAUUCGAAUUCAGACUCUCAUUAUUUAAAACCAUUUUCAGGUGGCUUGCACGCUAAUUAAGUUAAUGCAGAAGCUAUACUCUAGACAAAGAUGAGCAAAUUGAAGAUGAUAAAUACAUAUAUGGUGGCCAAGUCGCUCAUUACAUUUCAUCUCUCAUACGAACAUGAUUCUGAAUUUGAAUUUCGAUCAAUAAUAGUCAGGCUGGUGCAGAUAUUCUUAAAAGGGCAUUAAGCUACCUUAUGAAAUUGGAAAGUUAUCAUUGCUUGAAUGAAAGCACCAUCUUCUGUUGUCAAGGCUUUCCCCACACGAUGAGAUUCUGUGCUUGUUAUCGGCCACUUAAUUAUUUAUUAAAUCAGGUUUUUGUUAUCAAGUACAUCAUCUUAUUCACCAUUUUGGCUAUAUAUAAAGAUUAAAAUUUCUAACAGUUGUUUCGGAUUCUUGUGUACUCAGGUUAAUAUAGCAAAUGUCAUAAUGAAGAUUGGUCAGUGCAACCGGUAUAGCAAGGAUGAUAGUGGUGAGGAAGAUUGUUGGCAAGUCAAAUAGAGCCCUCCAUUUUGAGAAAUAUCAUCCUCAAAUUUGAGUUGUUGAGCAUGUGAAGUGAAGCUAUAGCCUUAAUAAUGAGACCUUCCUGUGAAAGUUUCAUUUGAGUGAAUUGAACGUUCUUAGUGGGUAAGAAAUUAAGUUCCCAGCUUGUUUAAAUGCUGUGUAAUUUUUACCCAAGAUUAUGCAAUUGACUUAUGCAAUUCACUUACAGUGUUCUGAGUACUUGAGUUUCAGAUUUCCAAGAUGUGUAAUUUUAGUUGCCAUUGAAAUAUUUAGUCGCUCAUUCUUAAAAAUCUGUUCUAAUUUUCCUGUUAUUUUGGGCCAUAAACAGUUUAACAAGUCUGCAUGUGGUUUCUAAAGAUUGAUGGUUAUGAUAUAUAUUGUGAGGUAUGAAAUAUUAAUUUGCUAUAAAUAUGUGUACAAAUUUUUCCUAUUACAUGGGGACUGAAAUUGUAACUUGCAGGGUCAAAAGAAAUCUUAAUUUGCUUAAGUGUCUGCAUUUGUGUACAAAGGAAAAAUAAGAAAUUCUGCUACGUGGGGACCGAAAUUUUAAUUGGCAGGGUCUUCAUCAAAUGUUUGUUAUCAAUACUGAUCCCGGAAUGUGUGGAACACGGUGAAAAGUUUUUCAUAGUUUUGUGAAGAAGGCUGAUUUAUCUGAUUCAUAGAAUUGUUAAAAGGGCAUCGGGCGGGGGACAAAAGAAGUGUUGAAAUUAAAAAGGUUAAUGGUUAAAGCAUGCAGUUUCUGUUGCAUUUGCAUUGGCCUGGGUUUAGGGAACUGUCAGAACUUUCAGAAGAAGAUGGAGUUUCUCAAACCAAAUCUAAGAAGAUAUCUCACAUUCCCCACAUGGUCUCAACGCACAGGUAAGUUCUUCUCUAGCUCUGUUUUUCAUUGUUUGUUUUAUCUAUUUUUAAUUCACAUGUCCACAGUAAUUUCAUUUUAGUUUGAGCUGAGUGAUGACUUUUCAAGGCUCACUUACUCAUUGGGAGAAGCUGCAGGACGCAGGCUGCAAGGAUUUAGAUUUUCAUUCGAAGGCUCACUUGCUCAUUAGCUUGUGCAAUUCCUGUUAAGAGGCACAUCCAUUCGAAGUAAUUCAAUUUUAUAUUUUCAUAGUGUGCGUGUUUCGUUGCGAUUAAAAUGAUUAGUCUCUCGUUCUUAAUGUUUUCUAAUUUUCCGGUUAUUUAGGGCCAUAAACAUUUUCCAAGUACUGCAUGUGGCUGCCAAAGAUUGAUGAUGAUAAUUAUAUCUUGAGGCCUGUGUCUUGCUUUUGAGCACUCGCAGAAACAGAGCUCAAGGGAAAGAAAUUGGAAGAUGCUCUAAAUAUAAUGAAAGUAUAUUUCUACUUGUGGUCAAUUUACAUUUGUUUCUUGUGUCAUUAUGCAGAUUAAUUUAUUCAAAUUUUUCCUAUCUCAUUCAUUUAUUUUAGACAAAGUUUGAAAAAAAAUUAUAAGUAUACAAUUUCCAAUGGAUUUGAUAGAGCGGUCAUCAACCAUAUUGAUGUUAUUGGAGUAGCACUGUUCUUAAGCACUGCUUUGAGGUCUCUCCCUCUCUAUAUACAUUGAUAGACUAUUCUGGUCGUACCAAAUUAUCCUUGUUUUAAUGUUUUGUUUGUUAAACUUUGACUGGGGGAAUCUGUUUAUUUGUCUGAUAUGAUGUUAGUGUGGUUUCUAUUGAAGUGUGUUAGAUCUAUCACCAAUUAUUAUUUCAAUUUUUCUUACCAAAUCGACUUGCAUACUUUCCAAGUCUAGAUCCUUAACAAUAGUGAGACUACGCUACAGAAGUACGAUUUCUCUAGUUUUGUAGUUAAAUACGUUAGAAUGGUUUUAAAUUAACAGAACUUUGAGAUAGUUCUCUGAGGAAAUACAAGUGGUGAAUAUGGUUCCAACUUUUAAGUGCCUUAAUAUUCCCAUUUGUUCAGCCCUGUGCGUAAACAAUUAGUAAUUUCUGUCCAAAUUCUUCUUUAAUGCCUAUAUGUGUUGGACUUUGUCUAUUGUUCAACUUCUCAAAUGGAUUCCAUGCAGGGUUCUUAAUGUCCAAUUAGGAGAAAGAUCAAGGCUUGCUUGGCUAGGAGUGGAAGCGGAUCCACUACUUCAGUCAGAUGACCUUUUGAAGAAGGCUUGCAACAGGCCGUCUCAGGAUGUCAAUGGCUCAACUCAAAAGUCCUCAAAGUGGCUGAUAUCAAAGAAUGCCAUUGUCUCUGGGCUUGGGCUCCUUGGCAUCAAACAAGGGAAUGUCGACUCUGUUGAAGGGGAAGCAAGGUGUUGAUGCGGGAUUCCGGUUCUCCUCGUUCUACGACCAGGAUCUCUGCUCGAUCAACUUCAUCACGACCAGGAGGUCUCCUCGUAAGGCUUCUUCUCCAGAGGUUCCUGCGCACACAGACAAGUCAGAGUACGCCGGUUGUUUUCCCGGCGCAAACCCUCCGACGCUCAAGUCAGAUAUCAAGGUUCGAGGAACGUUUGCCACAGAUCUUAUGGCUUUUUCGUGGUUUUCUCUCUUUUUAAUUUCUUUUCUAAAAAAAUGCCAACCCUUUUACCUCGUUGGCUACCUUUUUAUAGGCUUCCUCUGAAUCCCAGUUUUCUGCUUUUUUCGAGACGGUAUGGGACUCUGACUGCUGCGUUAUGGGCAAACGUGGGAUCUUGCGUGUUACGCCACGGUCCUGGGGAAAGCGUGGCUGUCGUGGUUCUGUGAGAUCUUGCGUGUUACGCCACGGUUCUGGGGGAAGCGCGGCUGUCGUGGUUCUGUGAGAUCUUGCGUGUUACGCCACGGUUCUGGGGGAAGCGCGGCUGUUGUGCCUAGAUUCUCGGGCUGGAGAGCAUGUCUUGCCAACUGUCGUUGACCGGAUCUCCUCGCCUCUCGACCUCUAGCCGGAAUGGCCUUAUGCCUCUUACAGGAAAUUGGCCUCGCGGAUGACGUGCUCGUGGACGAGCAGGAUAUUUCUGCUCCUGUUCCCCCGCGCGCCAGGCUCUUACGGAACACACCGGUUCGCAGAACUAUGCCACCAGAUAUCUGCUCACCAUGCCUGGUCUCGUCGACGUAUUUCUCCCAAACACCGGUCCCCCAGUUUCUGGUGUUGGGCAAUGUAGUGGACCAGCAGUAGAAACUCGAUAGUACUCGCUCGCGUGGGAUUGGAAAAGGCUGCCAAGAGUCAUGUCGCAUUUAAUUGCGGACGAGGUGACGUGGCAGAAAUCCCCCCCCCCCUCCAUUUGAAUUUCAAACCGACGGUUAUGAGACCCUCGGGAUUCGGCGCUGUUAAAUGCUGGCAACCUAAGAGUCCGUCCUCAGUAGGAAAACCAAAUCCUCUCGAACGGCAUAUUCGCCAUUCACUCCGUCUCCGUCUCUGUCUCUCCGGCAAAGAAGUUCCGGCAUAAAGGUCCUCCAUCUCUGAUUUUCACCGACUGAACCAUUACUUCAGGUAUUUCUUCUAUCUCCUUGGUCUCGGAUAGUUGUAGAUAAUUUCUCUUCUCUUCUGUUUGGGGUAGUAGUUGGUGGUGUUGUGGUUAGAGCUUAGGGAAUGUCGAAAGGCAAGGAGAAGGUCAUUGAGGUUGAUGACGACGAGUUGGACUUCCUGCCUAGUCUGCUCACCGAUCCUGCUUUUGACCCCGGGAUCCCUUUAGAGCCCAUUAGGUCUAGUGUCGGGACUAGUGCUAGGAGGAUGUCUCCCCAAACAACCUCUACGAGCGGAAGUAAUGGUGAGGAGAGAUCUUCUGGCUCCGAGGAUACUUUGAGUGAGGAUGGCGAAGGUGAUUCUGGUGAGGUGUCUCCAUCUGGAACGUCACGACCAGAAGGACGGGGUACAGUAGGGGGUAGAGCCUUGUUGCGUGAUUAUGCCAUCGACUAUAUGACGUGCACGACCACGUUUGACGAGCUCGAUGACCUCCGUCUUAGGUACAGCAUUCCUGGUGAAAUACUUCUCAAGGUCCCAGGCAAGAAGGAUACCCCUAGCUGGCCUCCUAGGGGAUAUGUUACCCUGUAUCUGGAUAGCUUUAAGUAUGGGCUUAGGUGUCCCUUGCAACCUUACUUUGCCCGGAUACUUAGCGGGUUGAAUCUAUCUCCUGGUCAGUUGAACCCAAACGGUUGGAGAGUGCUCUCUGGUCUGUUCAUACUGUGGGACAGAUGUUGCCAAAGCGAGCCCACGGUCGACGAGGUGAUGCACCUGUACCAGCUGAAAAGCAGCCCAAAAGAUGCCGGCUGGUAUUACUUCCAAUCAAGUACCAAGACCAGGAAACCCAUAACCGAUCUCCCUACUGGUGGUGGUGGGAAUUGGAAGAGGAAGUUCUUCUUCGCAGGGGGUCCCUGGGGUCAAGUUGCACGGGUUGAUGGGGAAGACUUCCGCGUCCCACCCCGUUUCGUGGUCCCAGGUUGCCUGCUCGUAUUAGAUGUCUUGUCUCCCUUGUCGUUUGCGCUUUACUGGUUUGUCUCUAAUCAAAUGUUUGUUUGUGUUGCAGGUUCUUGGGGUGUCCACUUCCCGCUUGAACCUGACCAGCUCAAACGGGUCGAGGCUGUACUAGCCAAUUCCUGCUCAAGCCGAGAACUGUUAACUACAUACAACUUGCUCGAGUCUCGCUUGAUACUUCCUGGCCAUAGGAUGGAGGACGCUGUGAUUGGGGCUCUGACCCGAAAACGUUCUUGACCUCCAACCACGAAAAGGGACCAGAGUAAGGAUGCCCCUGCUGCGAAGCGGGCCAACAUCGUGCAGCAGGUCCCAUCCUUGAAGAUUUUACCUCCUGCUCCUGUAAAAGUCGGGGAAGCUAGUGGAGCAGCCACAGAUCCUGCUUCCUCUUCUCCUCCUGUCGGGCCUCGAUCUCGCUUACCUGACAGCCGAGCAGAACACCUGGUCCCCUACCUCAAUGAGUUAUCUAAACUCGUGAGCAAGAAGGACCUGGAGGACUUUGACGGCUGCACCUUGGGUGAGCUGGUGGGGGCCAUGCAGCAUAGCGCUUUCCACCUCAGCUGCAUGACCACCUAUUACAAGGCUAAGAUUGGCCGCUACGACCGGAAGAUGAAGGAGGAUAUUCAAUCGGCGACGACCAGAGCUGACGUUGCCGAGCAGAAAGCAGGGGAGCUGAAUCUCGAGAAUCUGAAGCUGAUAGAGCAAGAAUCACUUGCUCAAGCAAAAGCCAUUACCCUCGAGGAGGAGCUUACCAAGGUCAAGGAGGAUCUGCAAAGGCAGAAGGCUAUGUAUGAGGCUCAGCUCGAAUCUCUCCACGACUCCCACCGAGCUCAGGUCGAGAAUUUGGAGAGGGAGGCCGACAACCAGUACGACCAGGGACUUCGGCAUUCCUAUCGUUGCAUCAUGGCCGUCCUCGGGAAGCAACACCCUGAUCUGAAGAUGGAUGACCUUGCAGCUGGUGUUGCUCAACAUACGGACGAGGAGGCGGCCAAGGAAGAUGCCGAAAGGGUAGAGCCGAUUGUGAUUGAGGAGGAAAACUAUCCUCCUCGUGCAGUCCCUGCUGAUGUUGGCGAGGCGAGCACCCCCCCUGACGCAACUGGUGAUACCCCUCCUGCACCUGAGGAGGUCCAACCAACCGAUGCUGCUGGGCUUACUGAUCCACCAUCUUCUUGAUAUAUUUCUUAUAUUGUAAUGAACAAUGUUUAUGGAGAUUAUCCCCUCUGUUAAUUAUUAACAAAUUAAUAAAAAUGUUUUUUGAUUACUUUCUUGUGUUGUAAUUAUGAAUUAAUUUUCGUUUGAGAAUCUGCUCGUCUUUGUCUAGACGAGCAGGUUCCGGCUUGGCUCAUGGUUUUGUGCCACAUGCCUUUGAAGAUUCUUCAAUGCCUGGGUUUCGGCUCGCAUUCGCGCGGUCAAGCAGAUCCUGGUACGCUUGACUUCUAUCUCGCUAUAAAACAGGCUUUGAGACUUGGUGAGCCUUUACAUGCCUUGGGAAUUUCUUCGAAUGCUUUGGAGUCUGCUCGCCUUCUCGUGGUCGAGCAGAUCCUGGCAUGCGUGGCUUCUGUCUCGCCAUAAGACAGGCUUUGAGACUUGACGGGCCUUUGCAUGCCUUGGAUAAUUUCUUCAACGCUUGGGAUUCUGCUUGGCUUCUCGUGGCCAAGCAGAUCCUGGCAUGCUUGGCUUCUGUCUCGCCAUAAGACAGGCUUUGAGACUUUGUCGAGCCUUUGCAUGCCUUGGAUAAUUUCUUCAAAGCUUGGGAUUCUGCUAGCCUUCUCGUGGCCGAACAGAUCCUGGCAUGCUUGGCUUCUGUCUCGCCAUAAGACAGGCUUUGAGACUUUGUUGAGCCUUUGCAUGCCUUGGAUUCUUCGAGGAUUGGGAUUCUGCUCGCCUUCUCGUGGCCGAGCAGAUCCUGGCAUGCUUGGCUUCUGUCUCGCCAUAAGACAGGCUUUGAGACUUUGUUGAGCCUUUGCAUGCCUUUGAUUCUUCGAGGAUUGGGAUUCUGCUCGCCUUCUCGUGGCCGAGCAGAUCCUGGCAUGCUUGGCUUCUGUCUCGCCAUAAGAAAGGCUUUGAGACUUUGUUGAGCCUUUGCAUGCCUUUGAUUCUUCGAGGAUUGGGAUUCUGCUCGCCUUCUCGUGGCCGAGCAGAUCCUGGCAUGCUUGGCUUCUGUCUCGCCAUAAGACAGGCUUUGAGACUUGACGGGCCUUUGCAUGCCUUGGAUAAUUUCUUCAAAGCUUGGGAUUCUGCUAGCCUUCUCGUGGCCGAGCAGAUCCUGGCAUGCUUGGCUUCUGUCUCGCCAUAAGACAGGCUUUGAGACUUUGUCGAGCCUUUGCAUGCCUUGGAUAAUUUCUUCAAAGCUUGGGAUUCUGCUAGCCUUCUCGUGGCCGAACAGAUCCUGGCAUGCUUGGCUUCUGUCUCACCAUAAGACAGGCUUUGAGACAUUGUUGAGCCUUUGCAUGCCUUGGAUUCUUCGAGGAUUGGGAUUCUGCUCGCCUUCUCGUGGCCGAGCAGAUCCUGGCAUGCUUGGCUUCUGUCUCGCCAUAAGACAGGCUUUGAGACUUUGUUGAGCCUUUGCAUGCCUUUGAUUCUUCGAGGAUUGGGAUUCUGCUCGCCUUCUCGUGGCCGAGUAGAUCCUGGCAUGCUUGGCUUCUGUCUCGCCAUAAGACAGGCUUUGAGACUUUGUUGAGCCUUUGCAUGCCUUUGAUUCUUCGAGGAUUGGGAUUCUGCUCGCCUUCUCGUGGCCGAGCAGAUCCUGGCAUGCUUGGCUUCUGUCUCGCCAUAAGACAGGCUUUGAGACUUGACGGGCCUUUGCAUGCCUUGGAUAAUUUCUUCAAAGCUUGGGAUUCUGCUAGCCUUCUCGUGGCCGAGCAGAUCCUGGCAUGCUUGGCUUCUGUCUCGCCAUAAGACAGGCUUUGAGACUUUGUUGAGCCUUUGCAUGCCUUGGAUUCUUCGAGGAUUGGGAUUCUGCUCGCCUUCUCGUGGCCGAGCAGAUCCUGGCAUGCUUGGCUUCUGUCUCGCCAUAAGACAGGCUUUGAGACUUUGUUGAGCCUUUGCAUGCCUUUGAUUCUUCGAGGAUUGGGAUUCUGCUCGCCUUCUCGUGGCCGAGCAGAUCCUGGCAUGCUUGGCUUCUGUCCCGCCAUAAAACAGGCUUUGAGACUUGACGGGCCUUUGCAUGCCUUGGAUAAUUUCUUCAACGCUUGGGAUUCUGCUUGGCUUCUCGUGGCCGAGCAGAUCCUGGCAUGCUUGGCUUCUGUCUCGCCAUAAGACAGGCUUUGAGACUUUGUCGAGCCUUUGCAUGCCUUUGGGAACUUUCUCGGUCUCAAGCGAAAGAAAUUCUUCGACGUUCCAUUAAUGGCAGGAUUCGACUUACAUGAAAUUGUUUGGACAUAAAACGUGAAAGAUAAAUGAUAAUGAACAUGAGCAAAAAUAGCUUUCAAAUGUGAACAAGUCUUACUGGAAGUAUUUUCGGAGGUGUGCUGCGUUCCAUGGGCGUUUCACCUCGUGGCCGUCCGUGCGAACCAGCUUGUAAGCUCCGGGUCCCGCUAUCUGCUUGACUCUAUAUGGCCCUUCCCAAUUCGGUCCCAGUACUCCUUGAGUCGAAUCUUUGGUGCUCUGAUUCACUCUUCUCAGUACCCAGUCUCCGAAUUGCCGUAUGUUCACCUUCUGGUUAUAGUACCGAGCAACCCUCUGUUGGUAAAUGACUGAUCGCUCGGCUGCUUGCUCCCUCCUUUCCGUUAGCAGAUCAAGAUUCAAACAUAUCUGCUCGUCGUUCUCCUGCUCAUUGAAAUGAUUUGUCCGGUGUGUGGUCGUUCCUAUCUCAGCCGGCACGACCGCUUCAUGUCCGAAAGCCAAAGCGAACGGUGUCUCCCCAGUUGCGGUUUUGUGGGUUGUUCUGUAUGCCCAUAGCACACAUGGCAGCUCGUCAACCCACGCACCCUUUUUUGCUCCAAGCCUGGUUUUCAGAAGCCUCUUGAUGGUCUUGUUGGCUGCUUCUACUUGUCCAUUUGAUUGAGGGUGAGCAGGCGAGCAAUACUUCAGCUCUAUCCCGAGGUUCUGGCAGAAAUCCCUGAAGCUGUGAUUAUCGAACUGCCUGCCAUUAUCCGUUACCAAGGCAUAAGGGAUCCCGUAUCGACAGACCAGGUUUCUCCACACGAAGUCUGUUGUUUUCUUCUCUGUGAUCCUGCUAAGGGCUUCUACCUCAAUCCACUUCGUGAAGUAAUCUAUAGCAACUAUUGCAUGUGUUGCUGCUCCUCGUGCCUUUGGCAAUGGGCCGAUCAGAUCAAUUCCCCAUUGAGCAAAUGGCCAGGGGGAGGUCAUGGAGGUGAGUUUCUCUGGUGGUUGGUUAGAGAAAUUUGCAAAACUCUGGCAGCUUACACAACUCCUGGUCUUCUCUUGCGCAUCCUGGUGCAUUGUCGGCCAGAAAUAUCCCUGCCUUAGAACCUUGUGGGCCAGGGACCUCCCGCCAGAAUGAUUUCCGCAGAUUCCUUCAUGUACUUCUCUCAGUACGUAAUCCGCGUCGUCCUCAUCCAAACACCGAAGGAACGGUAGUGUAUAUCCUCGCCGAUACAGUACCCCAUCAAUCAUCGUGUAUCUCGAGGCCUGGGCUCUAAUCUUGCGAGCUCGCAGCUUAUCUGGUGGUAAUACCCCGUCUCUAAGGUACGAAACUAUCGGGUCCCUCCACGAGCAUUUUUGUUCUAUCCGCAACACCCCCAAAUUCUGAUCGAUACUUGGGCUGGACUUCACCUCCAGAGGGACCGACUUUGGCAUUUUUGGGUCGGCUACUGCUGCCAUCCUAGCCAAAAUGUCUGCUCGACUAUUCUGCUCCCUGGGGAUUUGUAUCACCUCCACUGCUUCGAACUUCCCCAUCAUCUGCCUGACUAUCUUCAGGUACUGCUCCAUCUUUUCCUCUCUUGGUUGGAAUCUUUCACUGACAUGAUUCGCAACCAGCUGGGAAUCAGUUCUGAUCUUACCUCUGUCUGCUUUCACGGCCUUAGCCAAUUCCAGACCUGCUAUCAAGGCUUCAUACUCUGCCUGGUUAUUCGUGGCUGCAAAUUCCAACUUUACAGCAUAAGAGAUCUCCUCCCCCUCUGGGCCUUCCAAGACAAUCCCUGCUCCUGAACCCCGCUCCCCUGAUGACCUGUCCACAGACAUCUGCCAUACUUGAGUUUCGUCAUUGCUUAUAACUGCAUCUUGUUGAUCUAAGCAUACUUCGGGCUCUGUGAAUUCAGCUACGAAAUCGGCCAUUGCCUGGGCUUUUAUCGCUGCGCGAGGUUUAUAGUCUAUGUCGAACUCGCUCAGCUCUACAGCCCACUUGACGAGCCGACCAGAAGCAUCUGGCUUGUGCAGAGUUUGACGCAAUGGCUGGUUUGUUAUUACCGAGACCGAGAAUGCUUGAAAAUAUGGCCUCAACUUCCGAGCAGCAACCACAAGGGCAAGUGCCCAUUUCUCCAACGGUGGGUAUCUGGUCUCAGUGUCGAGCAGGGCCUUGCUAGUGUAGUAUAUCGGAUGCUGAACUCCUUCUUCCUCUCUCACCAGAACAGAACUGGUGGCCCGAUCCGAUACCGCCAAAUACAGAUACAACUUGUCCCCAUCCCUCGGUGUGGACAGCAGCGGAGCUUGCUGCAAGUAUUGCUUCAAGUUCCGGAAGGCUUCCUCGCAUUCCGGGGUCCAUUCUGUUUUCUUUCCCCUCCUUAUCACUUGAAAGAAUGGCUGACACUUAUCUGUAGCCUUGGAUAUGAAUCUGCUCAACGCCGCCAACCUCCCCGUGAGGCUCUGCAUCUCCUUCAGGUUACGAGGAGACGUCAUUUACACAAUCGCCUGGAUUUUCUCGGGAUUUGCUUCAAUCCCCCUAUGGCUCACCAUGAAUCCAAGGAAUUUCCCUGACUCGACCCCAAAAGCACACUUUUCCGGGUUGAGCUUCAUCUUAUACUUCCUCAAAAGCUCGAAUGUCUCCUCGAGGUGUCUGACAUGUUCCUCCGGGAUUUUGGACUUGGUGAUCAUGUCAUCCACGUACACCUCCAUGGUUUUCCCAAUCAACGGCUUAAAGACUUUGUUCACCAACCUUUGAUAGGUGGCCCCAGCAUUUUUGAGACCGAAUGGCAUUACCCUGUAACAGAACAAACCUUGGUUAGUGAUGAAAGCCGUGCUCUCCUCAUCCUGCUCGUACAUGGGGAUCUGGUUGUAUCCCGAGAACGCGUCCAUGAAGCUAAGCAGACCAUGUCCAGCCGUUGAAUCCACUAACUGAUCGAUCUUUGGUAAAGGGAAGCUGUCUUUUGGGCACGCCUUAUUGAGGUCUGUGAAAUCCACACACAUCCUCCACUUGCCAUUCGCCUUCUUUACCAACACCACAUUCGAUAUCCACUCGGGAUAAUUGACUUCCCGAAUGAAUCCUGCUCUCAAGAGCUUUUCUACCUCGCCAUUUAUAGCCUCAUACCUCUCCUGGUUGAAGCACCUCCUCUUUUGCCUUACUGCCCGAGCACCUUUCUUUAUUGCCAGCUUAUGACAUGCUACCUCAGGGUCAAUCCCCGGCAUGUCUUCAUGUGUCCAAGCAAACACAUCAGCAUGAGCCUGUAAGCAUUUCACCAACUCCUGCUUUUGCUCUCUCUUAAGUCUCGACCCGAUUCUGAUCGUCUUUCCCGGGUUCUCUGGUCCUAGGCUUACUGUUUCCAGAUCCUCUACAGGUUCUUGUCUGCCCUUCUUGUUUUCCACUCGGGUAUCGAGGGAUGUUAUCUGCAUUGCUUCCCUUGCUGCCGAGGAGUAGCAGCUUCUUGCGAUCCUCUGGUCUCCUCGUACCACUCCUACUACCCCAUUCACCCGGUACUUCAGAGCCAGAUAAUGGUUGGACAACACCGCUUUGCUCAUCCGUAAAAAUGGCCGACCUAGGAUCAUCUGGUAAGGACCUUCCUCAUCCACUACGACAAAGUCCAGUAUCAUUGUUCUUUCUGUCGGGGAGCUCCCAAUUGUGAUAGGCAGCUCGACCACGCCCAGAGGGACCAGCUUCCCUCCUCCGAACCCCUUCAAGGAGGUAUUCCUGUAUUCCAACUUCCGGUUGGCUAUUCCCAUCUCUUCCAGGGUUGACUUAAAUAACACAUCAACUGAGCUCCCUGUAUCAAUCAGGAUCCGGUCAAACUUCUUGCUAGCGACAGUAGCCUUGAUGACUAAAGCAUCCUCGUGGGGGUAUAGAAUCCCUUCCUCAUCCUCAUCCGUCCACAUGAUUGGCACUUGCCUGACCCUUGCUCGUUUGGCUGCUGGGGUGUUGAAGAGUACCUCUUUACUGGUCAUGGCGUACCUAGCAUAAUUUUUUCUCGAUCUGUUGGAAUCUCCGGCCAAUGUUGGGCCCCCAGCUAUCACCCUUACUGCGGGCUGCUCGCGCCUCAAGUUUCUACCACUCUGCUCCCCUUCACCUGUUGUGGCCACCAUCGGGAAAGUCCCAUCCAUAAACUCGUCCAGGUACCGAUUUCUCACCAAAUCUUCGACCUGGGUCUUGAGAUCUCUACACUCUGCUGUGGUAUGGCCAUGGGUGCCAUGGAACUUACAAUAACGUCCUCUAUCCCUCCUGUUGGGUAGCUUUGUUAUUGGUGUAGGGAGGUGCAGCAGCCCUCGAUCCUUUAUGGCCUCGUACACCUCAUCCAGGGACAUCUUCAAGGAAGUGUACCGCCCAUAGUCCGGGUUCUGGUCGAUCAGGCGCACUGCUCUUUCUCUGUUUGCCCCGCUCUGAGUUGGGGGCAGUGGGAGUACUUCUGGUCCGCUCGCUCUGCUACCGUGGGGAUGUUGAUGAAGACCACCAGAUGCCGACUCAUGCCUUCUCCAAGGCUCCCUAGCUGGGGAACGAGGAGGUUGCGCCCUGCUGCGCUGAUACUGUGGUGGCCUCUGAUGAGGCUGGUAUGCAGUUACCCGACCUCCUGCUCCACUACCGGAGGCCUGGUGGUCCCUCCUCCUGAUCGGCCCAUUCCCCGGUAAUGCUUUCUUCUCUUUCCUCCCCAACCCUUCUAACUGGUCUGUCUUAAUCCGUGCAGCCUUCUCCUCUUCAAUCUCGAUGUCUCUCUUAGCCUGUUCGUAUGCGGCUGCAUACGUUAUAAUAGCUGGGCUUCUUAAAUUGUACCACAGCCUUCCUAUCUUCACCCCUUCUUUCAAUCCCCUUAACGCCUGAGGGUGGUUGAAGGCUCCCAAGUCGAGGACAGCCCGAUGAAACCUCUUGAUGAAUUCCCGAAGGGUUUCUUGCUCCCCCUGUUUCAUGCUUUUCAGCUCCAUCAUGUCAUCUUCCGGUGCCAUUGCCCCACAAAACUGCUCCGCGAAUUCCUGACACAUCUGCUCGAAGGUUUUAAUGCUGCCCCGAGGAAGUUUUCUGUACCAUUCUCGUGCACGUCCCUCAAGGGAUAGUGGGAACACCCUGCACCUUUGGGAUUGGGAUAAUCCUUGUACCCCAGUUAUGUCGUUGAAGCGCUCUAUGUGCACCAGCGGAUCUGUUCUUCCUGAGUAUCUGAGGUCUGGGAGGCGGAAAUCUCUCGGAAUAACUGCCCUCAUGAUCUCUGCUGCGAGCGGUGAUUCUCCGUCCAGCAUUAUCCUCCAACCAGGGGCUCUGUUCCUUCCUUGCAUGUCGUCAAUUAUCUGUGCUAGUCUGCGCACUUCCUCCUCCAGCUGCACUGCACGACCAGGGUCACGUGCUGCAACUUGAUCCCGUUCUUGCUCUACAUCAUGCAAGUGUUGCCUCAACUCUGUUUCCUCUGCAUUCACCACCCCGUCGUCCUCGUCACCAGUCUGUCUUACCGGGGACUGCUCUCUUUCUCUAUGAAAUUCUCCCCGCAGAGGUACGUUACCUCUCUCACCACCAAAUCUCCCGGUGGUUUGACUUCUCCCCGCACUAUCGGGACCUGGUGCCACUCCACCGCCUCUCACCCUUCCCUCUUGGGUUACCCUUCGCUCGCUCCGCAGCUCAUGCAGGAUGGUUGUCAAGGUCUCCAUCUGCUUUUCCAUCCGUUCCAUCCGGUCGAACAUGACUUUUUCCCGUGCUUCACUGACUAUCUCCCUCAGCGUCACGGAAUCGUUAAGCCUCCUAUCACCCCCUUGUGCACUACUUCCUCCUGUCUCCAUCGCUUUUUACUUGCUUCGCCCCUCUUCUUGCUAUCAACAGAAGCUUUUUGCUUUCUCCCCACAGACGGCGCCAAAAUGUUGAUGCAGGAUUCCGGUUCUCCUCGUUCUACGACCAGGAUCUCUGCUCGAUCAACUUCAUCACGACCAGGAGGUCUCCUCGUAAGGCUUCUUCUCCAGAGGUUCCUGCGCACACAGACAAGUCAGAGUACGCCGGUUGUUUUCCCGGCGCAAACCCUUCGACGCUCAAGUCAGAUAUCAAGAUUCGGGGAACGUUUGCCACAGAUCUUAUGGCUUUUUCGUGGUUUUCUCUCUUUUUAAUUUCUUUUCUAAAAAAAUGCCAACCCUUUUACCUCGUUGGCUACCUUUUUAUAGGCUUCCUCUGAAUCCCAGUUUUCCGCUUUUUUCGAGACGGUAUGGGACUCUGACUGCUGCGUUAUGGGCAAACGUGGGAUCUUGCGUGUUACGCCACGGUCCUGGGGAAAGCGUGGCUGUCGUGGUUCUGUGAGAUCUUGCGUGUUACGCUACGGUUCUGGGGGAAGCGCGGCUGUCGUGGUUCUGUGAGAUCUUGCGUGUUACGCCACGGUUCUGGGGGAAGCGCGGCUAUUGUGCCUAGAUUCUCGGGCUGGAGAGCAUGUCUUGCCAACUGUCGUUGACCGGAUCUCCUCGCCUCUCGACCUCUAGCCGGAAUGGCCUUAUGCCUCUUACAGGAAAUUGGCCUCGCGGAUGACGUGCUCGUGGACGAGCAGGAUAUUUCUGCUCCUGUUCCCCCGCGCGCCAGGCUCUUACGGAACACACCGGUUCGCAGAACUAUGCCACCAGAUAUCUGCUCACCAUGCCUGGUCUCGUCGACGUAUUUCUCCCAAACACAAGGGCUCCUAAAGUUCGAAGAAAGAGAAUAGUCCGGAAGAAGGUGAUCGCAUAAAUUUCUUGGGAGUUAAUCCUAGUCAAUAGCCCAAUUUUGCUGCCUGUCGAAGAGAUACAACACGGAAGUCCUCAUCAAACUCUUUUGAGACAUCUAAGAACUAGUAGGGAGGUGGUGGUAUUUCACCGUGUUUCCUGGCAAGUAUAGUUCACUGAUAGAGGGAUUCUUUUCUUGAUGUCUAAAUACUAUAUGUGAUACAACGUCGUAUAUUCCAAUUUUUCUCCAGUUAAAUUAUAGUAAGUUAGAAAAGUUAAUUUUGUUCUAGCGAUGAAUUGUUUUCUUAAUAAUAAUAAUGGCCUGUUGCUUUGGAAUCUUAUUCACUCUCUGUAACCCAAUUAAAUUGUGCAAAUUCUACUGCAGAUUUGUCAAACAGAGUGUCUCUGUGAUUGUUUUGAUACACCUUUUAAUUACUAGAUUGUACUCGAGUUCCUAUUUAUUACUACUGUGUUGUAGUUAUAGUUAUUGUGAAAAAGGAACUGAAACUAUAAUAUAAAUGUUGAUCUUCUGUUGUAUAUAUGAUUUUUAAAUAAUAAUUUUGACAAAAUUAAUAAAUGUAUCAUUGAUUUUUUUAUACUCCCAACUUAAUUUUUAAGUCACCAUAAUAAAUAUUUAUUAAAUACUUUGAUACUGUAACUUUAAAACUAUGCUCCGCGGCACUCUUAUCUAAUUUUAAUUGUACUUUAUAGCUCGAUUAUAGAAAUCCUUACUCGAUGUACUUUACCAUACAAGAUGUUAGUUUACUUAAUCUUACUCGACUUUAAUUGCAUAUUUUAUAACGAAAUUUUUGUCAAAAAAUUGGUCCCGAUUCCAGCAAAACAGUAACUUCCAUUCAAAAGGGUUCCACGUUGAGUGCAUGUAAUCUGCACCAAGUUUGAGAAGAAAUAACCAAAAAAAAAAAGAAACCCGCGUCCAAAGAGGCCGUCAUUGAAUUCAAAAAUUAUGAUCCAAAAUCCAAAAAUAGAAGAAGAAUUGGAAACAUAGUCGGAGUUUUAAAUUGAUAUGAGAAAAGAAUUUAUCAUUUUUUUAACAAAAUUUAAGCUAAGACGAAAAAAUAUGCCUAAAACACCCCUCACAUUAUCCCAAACUUUCGAAACUCCCCCAUUCCUCUGACCAUCAUCUCUCCCAAAUCAAUCUUCCCCCAAAACCAGCCAUGGCUUCAAAUUCAAUCAGCUUAACACUCCAAUAUUGCUUGUAAGCCACCCACAAGUCCUCAACUUCAUAUGGACUCAAGACCAAACCCUAGCUUCCUUCCCACACAUCCUCAUUCACUCCAUCAUUACUUACCUCUCCCUCACAUCCAUCCUUUACCACACAUCAACAUCAACAUCACCAUCACCAUCAUCAUCACCUCUCAUUGGACCCCACAUCCUCAGACCCAUCACAGCCAUCCAUAACAUUUUUCAUUUUGAUGCUGUAUGAUCAUUUUACGGGAUUUGGUUUCCCUGGGUUUUGGGGUUGGUGCUUCAAUACUGUGUUUAAUGCUUCCCUUUUGGCCCUUUUUGUUAAUUUUCAUUACAAGAGCUAUGCUAAGAAAAAGAAGCAGGGAUGAUCAAAACAACUAGUAGUUAUCCUUGUUUUGUGUUUUCUUUUUUAAUUUAUCUCUAUCAUUGCCAUUGACAGAGAUGUUUCCAGUUGCCUAAACUUUGUUUUUUCAAUUUUGGUACUACGUGUAAUUUGUCACCACAUUUGUUUAGUCUCUCCCUUUUAAAUUCCCUCUCGCACACAAAAAAUUCGGAUUUGUAUUUUGUAGACUAAUAUUUUUCAUUUUGUUAAUGAAUUAACUAUUAUUAUCUACAUUAAUGUGAUGGAACACAAGCCACAUCAACUAGAAUUAGAUUAUGAAUUUUUGCAGCCCCAGCAAAAAACAUUUAUGAAAGAUGUUUAGGUAAGGAUUAUUUUGGUAUUCUAAAGAGUAGAAUAAAAAUUAAUGUUCAAAAUAUUAGAACAUAUAUAUUCCCAGCCUUAAUAAAAUUUUGCGACAUGAAAUGUACAAAGUUAGAAAUAUAGAAUGCAUAUUAGUACAUGUCAAUAACAAGACCAAUUAGAUUAUGGCAUUACUUUAUUUUAUUUAUUUAUUUUUUUUAUUCUUUUGAAACAAGAUCAAUUAAUUAGAUCAUGCUAGAAGUUAAAUUGUUUUUUUUCAAAUGAAAAAGGAGCAGUCAUACAAAGUUUGAAUAUAAAAUUUAUAAUCUAAAAUUAAUGAUGUGACAAUUAACAUGUUAUUAACCUAUCUAAUAGAGUAGGAAGUCCCAAAUACAUCAUAUUCUGCUCCCGAAAUCAAUUCCACCUAGAAUACUUCUUUCUAUUGAAAUUAAUGAUGAUUUGUUUGUUUGCAUCAUGAAAGUCAAAAAUAAUUUUGUGAGUAAUUUGAUUCUUUACGGUACAAAAAAUAAAUUCGGAAAGUACUAAUUUCUGUCAUACUUUUCGGGCUAAAAAAUAAAUGUAAGUCUAUCAUAUUUAUUAUUUAAUGGUUUUAUAUCAAUCAUCUGUAUGUAUUUUUCUUGGGAGAAGCUCAAUUAAUUUCUCUCAUACUUUUUGAUCUGAUCCAAUUCUAGCCUAAUCAACCUGAAACCCAUUCAAGUUGAUAUGAACACAAAUUUGCCCACUCCGGAGAUUGUGACCCUACAAACUUUGAAAAAUUUUGAGGUUUCGAAGUAAAACAUUAAAAAUUAGAUAUAAAAAGACUGAUUUGACCCCUAAGCACUUGAUGUAUAAACUUUAUACAUAUAAUAGAAAUUUAAUUUAUAUUUUGUAAAAUAAAAUCAAGUAAACUCGAUUUUUUUUUGUUAAUUAUUUUUUCAUUAUGACAAAAUGAAAAAUAGCCUUUUAUUAAAAUUUUUAUAAAUAAUCGGGCCUAAGUCUUUGAUUUUUAUUUUGUUAAUUAUUUUUUAGUUUUACUUGCAACAGUAAGUUCAAUUAUGAAUCAAAGUCGGCAAAUCAAAAUCGCUGCAGCCUGUAGCCACAAGCAAAAUUCUCAAAUUUCGAAAUUCCUAACGACUACAUAAUAACUAUAAAUAGAAUAACAGUCUAAAAUUAAUCCCCAACUAACAUUUUAAGUGAAGUUGGGCCUUCCGAAGAUUUACCCCAUAUGGAACAAAAUAUUAGUUUUGCUACUAAAAUUGCGAACUACGUUUUUCUUUGUAUUUUCCGCUCAAGGAUGAAGAAAUUUCACUCAACUGUUGUGCUGAAUAUCUUGCGAACAUAUGACAAUUUAAGACCCGUUUGGGGCAGCUGCGCGGUGGUCCUUAAUCUUUGGCUGAGACUUGUUUAAAAUAAAAAAUGACACUUUAAAGCAAUAGGAGAGUUUUAUAUAUCAAAAUGGUAAACGGAUGGAGAAAACUCAAAAUAAUUUUUUUAACUUUUUAUCUAUUUUGACAUUCGAAUUUUAAACUCGAGAAGUCAAGCAAUGAAUAAACCUUUUUGAGGGGCUAAUUAAAUUCUUAGUAAUUUCACAUAAUUUUAUUUCAUCAGAACAGUUUUAUCAAAAGCAAUUUUAUAAAUCGUUGUUGAAAGAUUUAUUCCUUAAUUAUCUUUCACAUAUUUUUUUGGUAAUAUGAGGUAAGUCAUAGACCAUAGUAUGAUAUUUAUUAAAUAUCAAAAUUAAUAUGAUAUUUAUUAAAUAUCAAAAUUAAUUAGACAUGUCUUUAUAAUAAGACAUCAUUUAUUUUGAAAUUGUUCCAGCACUAAGAUUAUUCUAGAUCAAAUUAAUCUAUUAUAUAUAACUUCAGAAGAUUUCUCGGUGGAUUGCUUUAAGGUUUUACAGGAGCUGAUGCUGAGUAGUCUGAAUAAUUAUUAUGAAUCAUAGAAACGGGGCAGAUGCUGUUAAAUUAUUGAGGUGGUGGAGCAGAUGCUCAGUAGUCUGAAUAAUAAUGAUGAAUCGGAAAAAUAGGGCAGAUGCUGUACAAUUAUUGAGGUGGUGGAGCAGAUGCUCAGUAGUUUGAAUAAUUAUUAUGAAUCGGACAAACAGGGCAGAUGCUGUACAAUUAUUGACGUGGUUGAACAGAAAGCUAGCCCCAGACGGUAACUCCUGUGGGGACUCCUUUAAUUUUGCAUCACAAAAGAACGUUCACACUGACAUUGACUCACGGGUAAAAAUUAAAUAUCUCAUAUGGUAUAAGAAGAAUGCAAACAUGCUUGAAUCAACAUUCUCACAGAAUACAUAAAACCUACUUUCCUCUGAGCAUUUUAUCAAGAAAAGCAAUUGCUGCAUUUACCAUUUGAUCUAAUAUCAGAAUGGUUGAUGCGAUCGUUUCCGCUCUCCUGGAGCAGCUGAUCUCUGUUGCGGCUGAUGAAGUGAAACAGCAGGUGAGGCUUGUGACUGGUGUCCGAGAAGAGGUGAAAAAGCUUACCAGCAAUCUUCGAGCCAUUCGAGCUGUGCUGGAAGAUGCAGAGAAAAGGCAAAUGCAGCGCAACAAUGCUGUUACUUUUUGGCUGGAUCAGCUCAAAGACGCAUCUUACGACAUGGAAGACGUGUUGGAGGAGUGGACCACUGCAAGGCUCACAUUGCAGAUUGAGGGCGUUGAUGAUGACACUGCUCUUGCUCUUGCUCCUCAUAAGAAGAAGGUACGCUCCUUCUUUUGUGCUGCAUCAAACUGCUUUGGUAGUUUCAAACAACUUAGUCUUCGUCAUGACAUUGCCGUCAAGAUUAGGGAAAUCAAUGGAAAGCUAGAUGAUAUUGCCUCCCAAAAAGAUACGUUUAAAUUUGUUGAGAAUGUGAGCAACAAUGUUAGGGAACCAGAGCUAGUGGGAACCACCUCCUUCAUUGAUGAGGGAAAGGUUUGUGGUAGAGUUGAUGAGAAAAAUGAGCUCUUAAGCAAAUUGUUGUGUGAAAGUAGUGAACAACAAGAAGGCCUUCAUGUCAUCUCACUAGUUGGGUUAGGGGGUAUAGGUAAAACCACUCUUGCACAACUGGCCUAUAAUAAUGAUGAGGUGAAAAGAAAUUUUGAAAAAGUUAUAUGGGUGUGUGUAUCAGACACUUUUGAGGAGAUUAGGGUUGCGAAAGCAAUCAUUGGAGGUCUAGGUGAGUCAACUUCUAGUUUAAGUGAAUUCCAAUCUCUUAUGAGCCAUAUCCAUCGAUCAAUUGAAGGAAAAAAGUUUUUUCUUGUUUUAGAUGAUGUAUGGGAUGGGAAUUACAAUAAAUGGGAACCAUUCUUCCUUUGUCUAAAGAAUGGUCACCAUAGAAGUAAAAUUUUAGUUACCACACGUAAUGAGUCAGUUGCACGUAUGAUGAGAUCAACAAAUAUUAUCUCCAUUAAGCAAUUGGCUGAAGAGGAAUGCUGGUCAUUGUUCGAGCAGUUAGCAUUUUUCAGUCGUUCUCUUGAGGAUCGUGAAAAAUUAGAACCAAUGGGGCGAAAAAUUGCACACAAGUGCAAAGGCUUGCCUCUUGCUGCAAAGGUAAUAGGGAAUCUUUUGUGCUCUAAAAGUACAGAAAAAGAGUGGCAAAGUAUUUUAGAGAGUGAAAUGUGGAAAGUAGAAGAGAUUGGGCAAGGUCUUUUGGCUCCUUUGUUGUUGAGUUAUAACGAUUUACCCUCCAAUUCUGUGGUAAAACGGUGUUUCUCAUAUUGUGCUGUCUUUCCAAAAGACUACAAUAUGGAUAAAGAGGAAUUGAUUAAUCUGUGGAUGGCUCAAGGUUACCUUAAUGCAGAAGAAGACGAAGAGAUGGAGAUGAUUGGGGAAAAGUGUUUCAACAUUUUAGCAGCACGCUCUUUCUUUCAAGAAUUUCAGAAAAAUGACGAUGAUGAUAUUCUGAGGUGUAAGAUGCAUGACAUAGUACAUGAUUUUGCCCAAUUUAUAAGUAGAAAAGAAUGUUUGUGGCUAGAAAUAAAUGGUACCAAAGAAACAGUCAUAAACUCUUUUGGUGACAAAGUCCGUCACUUAAGGUUAAAGUUUCAAGGAGGAGCUUCAUUUCCUAUGUCCUUUUUUGAAUUUGAUAGAUUGCGUACCCUCUUAAUUUAUGAUGAAAGUCUUUCCAAUACAUCUUUAUUUGAUGAUGAAAGUCCUUCCAAUCCAUCUCUUAAUAGUAGCAUCCUUCGGAAGUUAUUUAGUAAAUUGGCGUGUUUAAGGGCAUUAGUUAUAAGACAACUGUCCCCACCUUUUUGUCCUAAUCACCCAAAUUUGAUUAGAGAAAUUCCAGAAAAUGUUGGAAAAUUGAUACAUUUAAAAUAUCUUAAUUUGUCUAGACUGUGUAUAAAGAGACUGCCUGAGACUUUGUGUGAAUUAUAUAAUUUACAAAAGCUAGAUAUUAGGCGGUGCCGAAAUCUUAGAGAAUUGCCAGCGGGGAUUGGGAAGUUAAUGAACAUGAGGAGUUUACUGAAUGAUAAAACUCGUUCUUUGAAGUACAUGCCAGUAGGGAUUUCCAAAUUAACCAGUCUUCGAACAUUAGGCAAGUUUGUGGUGGGUGGAGGUGUUGAUGGUAGCAAUACGUGUAGGCUUGAAUCUCUGAAAAAUCUUCAACUCCUUCGAGAAUGUGGAAUAGAAGGGCUGGGUAAUGUAUCCCAUUUAGAUGAGGCCGAGAGAUUAGGACUUCACAAUAUGGAAAACCUCCUUCGUUUGCGUCUUGUGUUUGAUGGAGUCGUAGAUCUUGUGUUUGAUGGAGUCGUAGAUGGGGAAGAUGAAGAAAGGAGGAGGAGGAAUGAGAAAGACAAACAACUUCUUGAAGCUUUACAACCGCCUUUGAGUGUAGAGAAAUUAUGGAUUGUAUCCUACGGAGGCAACAUUCUUCCCAAAUGGUUGACUUUGCUAACCAAUCUAAGGGAUUUAAGCCUUUCCUCGUGCGUUAACUGUGAGCAUUUGCCUCCUUUGGGAAAAUUGCCUCUGGAAAAACUCACAAUUAACAACUUGAAAAGUGUAAAAAGAGUGGGUAAUGAGUUUUUGGGAAUAGAAGAAAGCAGUGAGGACGACCCAUCUUCAUCUUCAUCGUCAUCAUCAGUUAUUGCCUUCCCCAAAUUGAAAUCUCUCAAUAUUGAGGAAUUUGAUGAAGUGGAAGAGUGGAAUUACAGGAUUACGAGGACGGAAAACAUCUCCAUCAUGCCACGUCUUUCUUCCUUGACGAUUUCUUCUUGCAACAAAUUAAAGGCGCUGCCGGAUUACAUUCUUCAAACGACGGCACUGCAGGAACUGAGUAUAUAUUUUUGUGAUCUUCUAGAAGAACUGCCCAUUCUAGAAGAUCACAGGACAACAGCCAUACCACGUCUUUCUUCCUUGGAAAUUAGUUGUUGCCCCAAAUUAAAGGUGCUGCCGGAUUACCUUCUUCGGACGACGACGCUGCAGAAAUUGACAAUUUGGGGAUGUCCCCUUUUGGAAAACCGUUAUAGAGAGGGGAAAGGAGAAGACUGGCAUAAGAUAUCUCACAUUCCCCACAUCAAGUGGUCGCUGUUGCCGCCGGUAAUUUCUCCUCCUCCUCUGAUUUACUUCGUUGUUGCUUGCAAUGAAAUUAAUAAAAAUAAUUAUAUUUUGACUUAAAAUUUUAUAUAAAAUCAAUCAUGGUAUAAAUAUGAAAAACUUCCUAGUUAUCAAAUCUGUUAAACUUGUUUUCUAAAGAUUAAAUAAUAAAAAAAUACAAGUGUAGUCUGUUGAAAUUUCUAUAUUUAUUUACUUUUAAAAAAUAUGUGCUCUUUUGUAAAAGUUCAUACAAUAUCAUAGAAAUGUUAUGUGUAACUUCCUGAGAGACAAAAUCUCUGUGAUACAUUUGCAGUAAUGUUGAAAACUAAAUGUCAUUAGCCCACCUUGUUUUAUUUCAUACGAGUUUAAUUAUGUUCACCAGGGAUUCGAGGAAAUGUCAGAACUACACUAGCAAUUCGCAGGUCCACGCUAAUUUGGUUCUAAUGAUGCACGCAGGAGAGCAAGACUAUGAAAAUGAAAAGUUUAGCCAAAGGAUUGCUAAAAUGUUCUGCUGGUAAUUCACUUGCUUUAUUUUAUAGAAUUCAUUUCCAUCUUCUUCUAUUGAUAUCUUGUUGUGAAUAACAAGAACAGAGAAGUAAAGAUAUAUCAAAAUUUACUAUUGCGAUGAUGCUAAAGCAAGCUCAAGCUCAAGCAUUGCAUUUUUAUUUUAUUUAAUUUAUAGAAUUUUCAUUUCCACCUGCAUUGCAUUUUUAUUUAUUUUUAGGUUGACUUUGAAUACUUCAUGGUGAACAUUGGGGUGACCAAGGAUUAGGCUGGCAGUGGAACGACUACCACUGUGGUUAUUGUGCGACUUUGAAGAAGAAAGUGAUGGCUGGGUCUGCUCUGUUUCUAUCUUUUUUCAUUCUUUGAUCGGUUUAUCCUACAUAAACAUAUGGAAUUAUGCUAAUAUUAUCAAUUUUUUCACCCAAUUUUCAUUGUUGGUUGUGAUAAAAAUUUCAGGCUCUCAAAAGCUACAAAGCAAAGCAUUUGUGGGCUGAUCAUAUGUUUCAAUUGAGGAAGGAGUUUGGUGUUGGCAAUAUUGUCCAGGUAACCACAGCUGAUAAUUUCCACAAAUUUGCAUUGUCAGAACACACUUUAAUGUUCAUUGUGUUCCUAUGUGUUAUCAGGUUAUUGUGGUAUGUAAAGUAUCAUCUUUAAGGAUUUGUAAGAGACUUCGCAGUAAACUUAGUUGGCACCAGCUCGUGCAAUUCCUCAUUCAUUCAAGAGUACUUCAAAAUUAGAUUUUCAAGGUUUGUAUGUUUAGUUGCGAGCAAAAUGUUUAGUCACACAUUCGUAAUCUUUUCUGAUUUUCAAGUUCUUUAGGGCCAUAAACAGUUUUCCAACUCAUUCUUAAUUUUUAGGUUGAUUUCGAGUACCCUGUUGAGGACAUUCUUGAGACCAAGGAUUAGGCUGGCGAACAAACUACUACCUCUGUUGUUAUAGUGCAGGGUUUGAUCAUUGGACCUUGAAUAAGAAUGCCUUACACACACUCUGUAAUUCAAGCAUUCUCUAAGGAAAAGAGCAGUCGAAGGGAUAGUGAUGGCCGGAUCUGCUCUAUUUUAGUUGAAGAUCUCUGUGAUGUCGAUGAACUUAAAGCAGUUGAUACUUCUUGAAAAUUGUUAUUACGGAUGAAAUUGAUUACAGGAGACGGGUAUCCAAAGGCGGAUUUUCAUAAACUUCCUUCUUUAACAAAUGUUCCAACGCUUGCUGUAGUAACAAUUUCAUAGCUUGUAUCUCUCGGGUGCAUCAUGUUCACGGGUUGGAAAAAGCAUUUGUGGUAAAGCUUCAAAGCUUGUAAAAUGGCUGUGAAAAGGCACAUUCAAUUCGGUAUGCUUUGGUGCGGUCUCCUAAUGCUAAUAUUAUAUUUUGUAUAGCAAUCUUAAUAUGCAAAAAAUCAUUGUGUCCAAAGUUUUCUAUUUAUUAUAUGGUGACUGAAAUUUUAAUUAUCAUAUCAAUCUUAAAAAUUUUUGUAACCCUAUUUUACUUUGCUUGUACAGAAUACCUGUUUUCGCUGAUAUGUCGAAUUCCCAGAAAUUCAUUUCCAUCGGUUUCCAUUGGUUUUAGCACAAACAGAAACAUAGAGCACUGGGAAAAAGUUUUACUUUUGGUGGUAUUAUGCCUUAUUUUCUUCAUUCAUCAUAUUUGUUUCGAAUUCAUGCUCUCAUUAAGAGAGUAAAGCCUUUUCCAGGCUGCUUUGUAGCCAAAUUUUGAUGCCAUCGAUGCGUGAUUGUCAUUUAGAUUUUCGAAAUAAUUGUCAGAUUGGAGACGAAUCAGAAGAUAUUGUUCAAAGGGUAUUUAAUUAGCACCCUCUGAAUUUAGUUGCCAAUAAUGCAUUGAAAUGGUUGGGGAAAGUUAUUGUCUUAAUUAAAUUACAGGUGAUAAGAUGCUGCUUCAAUUUUGCAAGCAUCUUGUACUGCAAAGAUUCUGCCCACAUGAGAUGCUGUGAUUCUUGACAUCAGGAUAACACAGGUCAAAUUUUAGUAUCAAUAUAUAUCAUCUUCUUUACUGUUCUGCCUCUAAAUAUUAAACUUUAAGCAAGUUGUUUUUGUUUGUGUAAGUUAUCAGGUUAAGGAUACUAAGCCGCUUAUUAAGGCAAAUGUCAGAAUGAAGAUUGUUCACCACACCUGGUAUGCAUGAUGGCCAGUAAGAUUAAUUGUUCACAAGCCAAUUUGAUCAGUGUUAGAUUUUUUGCCUCCUUUCGAGGGUCAUCAUCAUCAAAUUUGAGUAGAGAAUCUUUGAAGGGAAUUUUGUUGUAAGAGUUUCACAGUAGUGAAUUCUGGGAGCUCGAACUCACUUGAGUGAGAUAUUAGGGAGUGUUGGGGAUUUGGGUUAUGAGUAAUCAUUAUCCUUCCAAUAUGUGUAAGCACUCACUUGUUAGUAAAAUCAUCUUCGUAUAUUGACUAUGUUUCUUUGAGUAAUUCAGUUUCAGAUUUUCAGGGCAUGUAUGUUUAAUUAGUUUUGAUUAAAAUAUUUAGUCACUCAUUCUGAAUCUUUUCUAAUUUUCAAGUUCCUUAGGGCCACAACCAGUUUUCAGGGUCUGCAGAAACUAUCUUGAGGGUUGAGGAAUUGCGUUUGAGCACACACAGAAACAAGGCUAAUGGAAAAGAACUUGACAGAAGAAUUAUGCUCUAAAUCUAACAAAAGUAUAUUUCUACUUCUUGUGGUUAUUUUACUUUUGUAUUUUCUGUCAUCAUAUUUGAUUAAUUCAUUCGAAUUCAGACUCUCAUUAUUUAAAACCAUUUUCAGGUGGCUUGCACGCUAAUUAAGUUAACGCAGAAGCAAUACUCUAGACAAAGAUGAGCAAAUUGAAGAUGAUAAAUGCAUAUAUAGUGGCCAAGUCGCUCAUUACAUUUCAUCUCUCAUACGAACAUGAUUCUGAAUUUGAAUUUCCAUCAAUAAUUGUCAGGCUGGUGCAGAUGUUCUUAAAAGGGCAUUAAGCUACCUUAUGAGAUUGGAAAGUUAUCAUUGCUUGAAUGAAAGCACCAUCUUCUGUUGUCAAGGCUUUCCCCCACACGAUGAGAUUCUGUGCUUGUUAUCGGCCGCUUAGUUAUUUAUUAAAUCAGGUUUUUGUUAUCAUGUUCAACAUCUUAUUCACCAUUUUGGCUAUAUAUAAAGAUUAAAAUUUCUAACAGUUGUUUCGGAUUCUUGUGUACUCAGGUUAAUAUGGCAAAUGUCAGAAUGAAGAUUGUUCAGUGCAACCGGUAUAGCAAGGAUGAUAGUGGUGAGGAAGAUUGUUGGCAAGCCAAAUAGAGCCCUCCAUUUUGAGAAAUAUCAUCCUCAAAUUUGAAUUGUUGAGCAUGUGAAGUGAAGCUAAAGCCUUAAUAAUGAGACCUUCCUGUGAAAGUUUCAUUUGAGUGAAUUGAACGUCCUUAGUGGGUGAGAAAUUAAGCAUAUAUCAGCGAUUACUGAAUGUUUUUCUUUAACAUUAGUACACUCUUAUUUCUUAGUAAAAUUCUCUUCACGUCUCUGACUGUGACGUAGACCAAAAGCUGAACAAUGUAAAAUUAUAUUGUUAUUUCCUUAUGCUUGUUUUGCUAUAUAUCAUUUUUGUGCAAUAAAGAAUGUAAUUUUGUAAUUAUUUAACUCUGCUUCUGCGAACAUGCGGUAUUACAAGUGGCAUCUUGCAGAUUUUUUUCCCCUUUUUUUCUUUCUGCAUUAAAACUGCAACAAAUGGAAGUGACUGGCUUGAUUUUAGCUAAUGUAAAAAAGUGCUUGGGGCAAUGUCUUUUGUAUCAGCAAGUCAUCAAACAUCAUAGUUUAAAUAUAGAAUCCUGAGUUGCCGUAUAUUGACAAAGCUAACCGUCUGUGGGCUGAAAUGCUUCCACGGAUCAGGAAGGAAUUUGGGGUUGACACUAAAUGUUAUGCAGAUAACUACAGUUGAUAAUUUUUACCCAAAAUAUGUCACAGUUGACAAUUCACUUACAGUGUUUCCUUGUGUUAUCAGGCUCUCAUAUGUGAAUUGAAAGAUUAAGAAAAAGCAUUUGCACUAAAUUUCAAUUUUAAAGUUCCCAG